GAUGAACGCUGGCGGCGUGCCUAAUACAUGCAAGUCGAGCGAACGGACGAGAAGCUUGCAUCUCUGAUGUUAGCGGCGGACGGGUGAGUAACACGUGGAUAACCUACCUAUAAGACUGGGAUAACUUCGGGAAAACGGAGCUAAUACCGGCUAAUAUUUUGAACCGCAUGGUUCAAAAGUAAAAGAAGGUCUUGCUGUCACUUAUAGAUGGAUCCGCGCUGCAUUAGCUAGUUGGUAAGGUAACGGCUUACCAAGGCAACGAUGCAUAGCCGAACUGCGAGGGUAGCCGGCCACACUGGAACUGAGACACGGUCCAGACUCCUACGUGAGGCAGCAGUAGGCAAUCUUCCGCAAUGGGCUAAAGCCUGACGGAGCAACGCCUCGUGAGUGAUGAAGGUCUUCGGAUCUUAAGACUCUGUUAUUAGGGAGGAACAUAUGUUUAAGUACCUGUGCACAUCUUGACGGUGCCUAAUCAGAAAGCCACGGCUAACCACGUG
This 497-nucleotide ribosomal RNA is filed under the name uncultured bacterium. RNAcentral's name for it is "partial 16S ribosomal RNA". It matches the Rfam family "Bacterial small subunit ribosomal RNA", at positions 28 to 507 of the family's 1533-position model. The record is from RNAcentral.